Molecule: long non-coding RNA, 408 nt
Organism: Hippocampus comes (tiger tail seahorse)
Lineage: Eukaryota; Metazoa; Chordata; Actinopteri; Syngnathiformes; Syngnathidae
Exons: 3
Source: RefSeq, a predicted model, not a curated record
UUUGCUUCACUUGUGGAGGAGAGCAGAGCUGGACGCUUCUUCGACAGCACGGUGGCCUGAAAGACACGGUAACGCAAGCGCUUGACUUUUAAAUAUUCAACCUUCCAAGUGCCUGGCUCAGCACCCCGAUAUUUGGUCGACAUGUCAAAGACCUGCCAUAGCCUCGUGAAGCCAGGGCCCAAAACUCCACAGGAUGGCAGCCAUUUUAUGGGUCGUUCUGUCGACGUGAGCCUGUGGAGACAGAAAUUACAAUCGACACAUUUGGGAUUUAGUCUGUCGUGCGGCGGUUUCUUAAAACGUGGCAGUUCUACCGUGUUGCAGUCAAUUCGGCCAUUCUGUAGCAGAUGCAAAGCCUGUGGAAAGAAAAAGAGACAAAUUAGAUGGGCUUGCGCCAAACGGUUCAGGACU